AAAAAGAACCUGAAACCGUGUACGUACAAGCAGUGGGAGCACAGGUUUACCUGUGUGACUGCGUACCUUUUGUAUAAUGGGUCAGCGACUUAUAUUCUGUAGCAAGGUUAACCGUAUAGGGGAGCCGCAGGGAAACCGAGUCUUAACCGGGCGUUAAGUUGCAGGGUAUAGACCCGAAACCCGGUGAUCUAGCCAUGGGCAGGUUGAAGGUUGGGUAACACUAACUGGAGGACCGAACCGACUAAUGUUGAAAAA
This 255-nucleotide ribosomal RNA is filed under the name Salmonella enterica subsp. enterica serovar Derby. Its description in RNAcentral is "partial 23S ribosomal RNA". It matches the Rfam family "Bacterial large subunit ribosomal RNA", at positions 541 to 796 of the family's 2925-position model. Lineage: Bacteria; Pseudomonadati; Pseudomonadota; Gammaproteobacteria; Enterobacterales; Enterobacteriaceae. The record is from RNAcentral. RNAcentral also lists the same sequence under 1 other name.